UGGGGGAGUAUUGCACAAUGGGGGGAACCCUGAUGCAGACGACGCCGCGUGGGUGAAGAAGCGCCUCGGCGCGUAAAGCCCCUGUCAGCAGGGAAGAAAAUGACGGUACCUGAAGAAGAAGCCCCGGCUAACUACGUGCC
RNAcentral lists this ribosomal RNA (140 nucleotides) under uncultured bacterium. RNAcentral describes it as "partial 16S ribosomal RNA". It matches the Rfam family "Bacterial small subunit ribosomal RNA", at positions 354 to 509 of the family's 1533-position model. The record is from RNAcentral.